This 406-nucleotide ribosomal RNA is filed under the name uncultured bacterium. Its description in RNAcentral is "partial 16S ribosomal RNA". It matches the Rfam family "Bacterial small subunit ribosomal RNA", at positions 28 to 526 of the family's 1533-position model. The record is from RNAcentral.
GACGAACGCUGGCGGCGUGCCUAAUACAUGCAAGUCGAACGAGUGGCGGACGGGUGAGUAACAAGUGGGAACCUACCCAUCAGAGGGGGAUAACACUUGGAAACAGGUGCUAAUACCGCAUAUUGAUGGAUGGACCCGCGGUGCAUUAGCUAGUGGGUGAGGUACCGGCUCACCUAGGCGACGAUCUCUAGCUGGUCUGCAAGGAUGAUCAGCCAAACUGGGACUGAGAAACGGCCCAGACUCCUACGUGAGGCAGCAGUGGGGAAUAUUGCACAAUGGGCGCAAGCCUGAUGCAGCCAUGCCGCGUGUAUGAAGAAGGCCUUAGGGUUGUAAAGUACUUUCAGCGGGGAGGCGUUACCCGCAGAAGAAGCACCGGCUAACUCCGUGCCAGCAGCCGCGGUAAUAC